This 71-nucleotide transfer RNA is filed under the name Marmota monax (woodchuck). RNAcentral's name for it is "tRNA.Undet". The record is from RNAcentral. Lineage: Eukaryota; Metazoa; Chordata; Mammalia; Rodentia; Sciuridae.
GGGGAUGUAGCUCAGUUGGUAGAGUGCUUGCCUGCAUGUACAGGGACCUGGGUUUAAUCCUCAGCACCACA